Molecule: unclassified non-coding RNA, 329 nt
Filed under: soil metagenome
Description: partial contains 5.8S ribosomal RNA, internal transcribed spacer 2, and large subunit ribosomal RNA
Rfam family: 5.8S ribosomal RNA (bases 1-120)
Source: RNAcentral
GAUGAAGAACGCAGCGAAAUGCGAUAAGUAAUGUGAAUUGCAGAAUUCAGUGAAUCAUCGAAUCUUUGAACGCACAUUGCGCCCCUUGGUAUUCCGAGGGGCAUGCCUGUUCGAGCGUCAUUAUAACCCCUCAAGCUCAGCUUGGUGUUGGGGCCUGCUGCACUGGCAGCCCUUAAAAUCAGUGGCGGCGCCAUCUGGCUCUAAGCGUAGUAAUUCUUCUCGCUAUGGAGUCCUGGUGGAUGCUUGCCAUCAACCCCCAAUUUUUCUAUGGUUGACCUCGGAUCAGGUAGGGAUACCCGCUGAACUUAGGCAUAUCAAUAAGCGGAGGA